RNAcentral lists this ribosomal RNA (214 nucleotides) under Mucoromycotina sp. MIB 8352. RNAcentral's name for it is "partial small subunit ribosomal RNA". The stretch from base 88 to 214 matches the Rfam family "Eukaryotic small subunit ribosomal RNA", at positions 735 to 864 of the family's 1831-position model. Lineage: Eukaryota; Fungi; Mucoromycota; Endogonomycetes; Endogonales; Densosporaceae. The record is from RNAcentral.
CCCUGGCUGAGCGGUCCACCAUUGGCUGGCACUGUUCUGGCUGGGGUUCACCUUCUGGUGAGCCAAUAUUGCCCUUUAUUGGGUGUGUUGGGGAACCAGGACUUUUACUUUGAAAAAAUUAGAGUGUUUAAAGCAGGCCUAUGCUUGAAUACAUUAGCAUGGAAUAAUAGAAUAGGACUUUGGUUCUAUUUUGUUGGUUUCUAGGACCGAAGUA